This 605-nucleotide ribosomal RNA is filed under the name uncultured bacterium. RNAcentral's name for it is "bacterial SSU rRNA". It matches the Rfam family "Bacterial small subunit ribosomal RNA", at positions 338 to 944 of the family's 1533-position model. The record is from RNAcentral.
CCUACGGGAGGCAGCAGUAGGGAAUAUUGGGCAAUGGAGGCAACUCUGACCCAGCCAUGCCGCGUGCAGGAUGAAGGCGUUAUGCGUUGUAAACUGCUUUUAUAUAGGAAGAAACAGACCUUGCGAGGUAAAUUGACGGUACUAUAUGAAUAAGCACCGGCUAACUCCGUGCCAGCAGCCGCGGUAAUACGGAGGGUGCAAGCGCUGUCCGGAUUUAUUGGGUUUAAAGGGUGCGUAGGCGGUUUAUUAAGUCAGUGGUGAAAGACGGUCGCUCAACGAUUGCAGUGCCAUUGAUACUGGUAGACUUGAGUAUGAUUGAGGUAGCUGGAAUGGAUAGUGUAGCGGUGAAAUGCAUAGAUAUUAUCCAGAACACCAAUUGCGAAGGCAAGUUACUAAGUCAUAACUGACGCUGAUGCACGAAAGUGUGGGUAUCAAACAGGAUUAGAUACCCUGGUAGUCCACACUGUAAACGAUGAUAACUAACUGUUGGCUUUUGGGUCAGUGGUACAGAGAAAUCGUUAAGUUAUCCAACCUGGGGAGUUACGCGGNAACGGUUGAACUUCAAGGAUUGAGGCUUGGAGAGNGCGAGCGCGACGAGGAGGAGG